RNAcentral lists this ribosomal RNA (427 nucleotides) under uncultured bacterium. RNAcentral's name for it is "partial 16S ribosomal RNA". It matches the Rfam family "Bacterial small subunit ribosomal RNA", at positions 355 to 774 of the family's 1533-position model. The record is from RNAcentral.
UGGGGAAUAUUGCACAAUGGGCGCAAGCCUGAUGCAGCCAUGCCGCGUGUAUGAAGAAGGCCUUCGGGUUGUAAAGUACUUUCAGCGGGGAGGAAGGCGAUAAGGUUAAUAACCUUGUCGAUUGACGUUACCCGCAGAAGAAGCACCGGCUAACUCCGUGCCAGCAGCCGCGGUAAUACGGAGGGUGCAAGCGUUAAUCGGAAUUACUGGGCGUAAAGCGCACGCAGGCGGUCUGUCAAGUCGGAUGUGAAAUCCCCGGGCUCAACCUGGGAACUGCAUUCGAAACUGUCAGGCGAGAGUCUUGUAGAGGGGGGUAGAAUUCCAGGUGUAGCGGUGAAAUGCGUAGAGAUCUGGAGGAAUACCGGUGGCGAAGGCGGCCCCCUGGACAAAGACUGACGCUCAGGUGCGAAAGCGUGGGGAGCAAACA